CCCAAUCUUUCCUCAGACCUGUUAUCUGAGAAAAGACUGCAUCAUUUCUCUCGUAUAACCAUGUUCCUUCCUGUGUAGUACAAUAUGCCUGGGUCAUGUGCUCAUAGGAUUUACUGAACUGCGCUGGAUUCCAGCUGGCUUUUCAUGGACAGAUGGAAACAAAGCCUGUGCAGAUCUCUACUUAGUAUUGGAUAUGUAAUGCAUGAUAGACGUAACAGAAAGAACUGUGCUUAUUCACCAAGGAUAAUCAGCUAGGUGUGCCAGCACACUGCCCACGACUUCCUGAACUGAUGAAACUAAAAAGACCAGCCACAGUGAUGAUAACUAACAUGUACAGAAACUUCUGCUCUGGGACUGUCUGCCUUGUAAGACAGUGUGAAAAAUACUAUGGGGCAACUAAGAAUGCCUGCUUGCGUGGCUUAUCAGCUCUCACUGAUACCUCACCUCAUCCCUCACAUAUCUGCUGUUGUUGUUCAGUAUCAGCUUUUCAUCUCGAGGUCCCUCCUAACUGA
Molecule: long non-coding RNA, 512 nt
Filed under: Coturnix japonica (Japanese quail)
Lineage: Eukaryota; Metazoa; Chordata; Aves; Galliformes; Phasianidae
Description: lncRNA (ENSCJPG00005016990.1)
Source: RNAcentral